Non-coding RNA from Megalopta genalis, 4342 nucleotides. The record is from RefSeq and is a predicted model, not a curated record. Lineage: Eukaryota; Metazoa; Arthropoda; Insecta; Hymenoptera; Halictidae.
AAUUAUGGGUAAUUAUGAUUUUCUUCAAAAUAGCUAGUUCACGGACUGUGGCGCACUAUCACCGCAUAGCGACAGAUGCCAAUUAUGGCAUAAUUAGAGCAUAGAAGAAAAAAAACCAGAGGCACUCAACUGUUCAGGAGAGUUUGUUGCGUCGAUACCAUCUGACAAAAAAAAAAUACGGUAAUAUUGAAAAACGUAAUUAACUAACAUAAUAUUUAGUAAAACUUUUAAGCAGCAAUUCAUUAUAUUUUCUAACGUUAUUAUGCAUUUAUUUCACGUAAUAUCAAUGGAAUAGACUCACCUCAACAAUUCUGUAUCAUUAUAUUAUUUUUUUUAUUCUCUAAUUACACAAUAAUCAAAGUUAUCCGACGAUCUGCAUGAUACGUAUACCGGAGAUUUAGUUCGGCCCUUUGCAGCUACAUGGUGAUAGUGCGCCACAUGGUCCUUAGACCACGUGCAUACAUAAUAUAUGGUCCAUAAGCCACAGUCUAUGAAUUUUUGAUUGCCCACAAACUUUUGAUUACCAAAAAUUUUAGAAUUCAUAGAUACGGUACAUUCGAUACGCAGAAUAACUGGAAUCAUUCUAAGGACUAAGAACGUUAGUUUCGACGAGCUAUUCAACUUUUUCUCUUUCUCAGCUUCUAGCAAUUCAUCAUUGGACGAUGCCGCCAUCCAUUUUUGACGCUUGUGUGUUCCGGAUUUAUUCUUGGAUUCGCCAAAUCUCUUUGGACUCGCAAAAUUCGACGCCGCCGUUUGCCCACAAAUUCAACAGAGACACGGAUUUGCAACAAGGGAGAACUUGAUUUCGAACAGGAAACGGCGAAGAAAAUUGCUUUAGCGGGAACACGAACAUUCCAUACUCACCCUGAGUGCCUGACAUUAAGCUAAUUAAUGGAUGUAGACGGGCUCAUAAUUGGUGUGCCCUGCACUCCAUGCUCCUGAUGGGAUAUGUUGCCGGCGAAUCGAUAUUUCUAACAUCGUCCAAGGAAAUUCAAUCACUCCGCGCAUCGCGGUGUUACGCAACGUUUCGCACGGGAUGCGAAACAAGCUCGGUUUCGCAUCGUUCCGUUGCACCAUAUAAAUGCAGAUCCCGGCAUCUAUCUCGGGGGCUGGUUUCAUAAAAUCGUGGGAUUGUCUGGCCUCUGGCAAAAUGGCUUUUCUUUGAAACUUUCCGUUUCCUUUACAUUCAAAUCGAUUUCUGCGGGUCGCCCUGCAACAACGAUUUAUCGCUCGAUGCGUGUCGCGCGUUCGCGAACGCGGUUUUCGAGCAGGUUUAAAUUGAAAGCCCGGACACACAAUUCGGUCAUCCUGUAAUCGUAUAUUUACAAUGCGCCCACUAAACGAUAUUUACACGAACGUGGUAUCUACAAAAUUACAGAUAUUGCGCGUCCUCGUCCUUGUCGAUGGUGUUCCUUAUCCAGUCAACGUAAUGCUGCACCUUGGUAUAGACGUCCGGAUACCCGGGCCUGGCGCAUCCGGAGCCGAACGACGUGACACCGGCCAAUUGCCAUACGCCGUCCGGACGACGGCAUUGCAAGGGUCCCCCGGAAUCGCCCUGCGGACACACAACGAACGAGACUUGGAAAAAAGAAUCCGGAGAACCGAGGCAAUGAAGAGGACGAGUUGGAGUCGUUCUAUUUCGUCGAUGAAGGACAGGGGCAGUUCCGUUAUAUCCCGGAGACGCGGUACUUUUAAUCUACUUCCGGACGAGCCGUCGGUGUGCCCGGCGCAGAGAUGGCCACUUCGGAUGGGCACCGAUUUCCCGUACGCUUUUAUGCACUUCUCGAGAUCGAGCAACGGCACCGACGCUUCCAGCAACGCGGUCGACAGCGAUUGGGACGGCCCGUAACGGCCCCAUCCGGAGGCGACGCAAUACCCGUUCGCCAGCUUCUCCUCCGGCUCCGGUAGGCAUAUGGUCCUCACCACCUUCGACAGGGGAGCCGGCCUGGCGAGCUUCAUCAGGGCUGCAAACACACACACACAGCUGUUCCACGUCUCUUUCUUCUGCUCGUCGAUUCGUCAACCCGCUCGAGGCACGCUGUGUCACCUACCAAUGUCGUGGACGUAAUUGUUGAACCUCUCGUGGAGGACCACUCGCUCAACGGGCAGCCUGGCCGAACCGCGACCGCCGGAAUCCAGUUCCCAUUCCCCUACGACAGCCGUCCACAGGGCGCCGAUUGUGACCACCCAGGCAGGAUCGAUCAGGACACCGCCGCACCAGUGCCCUAUGAAUCCAAGUUUCGGAUGCAACAACUGCAGGGACACCUGCCAAGGCCAGGAGCCUCUUCUGCUCGGCUUCCCGUUGAAGAUCCUGCCUGUGCUCGCGACGCUCUUCUUCCCGGUGGACGUCGAGUUCCUCUGGCCGCCAGGCUCCCCGAAGAUCGCUCGGGGCUGCCUGUGUGACGCUGUCGGACAUCCGCACUCUGUUAUUUAAAAAAGCUCAAGGUUCUCACCCGAUCGCCGUUGUCAUUUUCAGCCAACGGCGCCGCGCGUCGACCCGUCGCAGCCGUUUCAUCUCCAGAACUUCGCCGUGCGUUCGGGCGAGCCGCCGGCUCUACGGACUCAGCGUUUCGUUUCGACGACUCUAACGGAUCCCGUGAACAACAACGAACCCUGAGGACGAUGAUCCAGCGGUCGGCUGGAUCGACAAAGCCGCUAUAAUCGAGUGCUCACCAGAAUGAUUGUCCGUGAUCCUCGGCGUCGCGCAGACGAUCUCCGCGAGAACGAAAAGAAGUAUCGCCAAACGACAGCGAGGAUUCAUUUCCGGGGAGCGGAGUGCACCGUGUGUAUGCGCGCGCGUGUGUGUGUGUGUGUCUCUCUCGAUCGGAUCGACCGCUACUUCAUGUUCGAAAAAUCCGACGGUACAAGAGGAAAUUGUUCACUUGUUCACUGUUCACUUGGCCCGCCGUUCAAUAGACAAUCGUGUGACGAUCAUUCGCGGGUCGAAUCUCAGCGGACGAUCAUGGUAAACGAUCGGAGGAACCGCACCGUGGCAGGCGACGAACAGCGAUCCUCGCGGGCUGGGAUCACCGGACCGCUGGAGAUCGGUGGAUCGCUGAACCGCGGAUUUCGCGGAUCCUUCGAAGGAGCCUCGAAGAAAGUGAUCGUCCGCGAUCGCCAUUCGAAGAAGGGGGAUUACACACGCUUGCGACCGCGGCGAACGAAUGGAAACCGGGAGCAGAGCCCCGAACGGACGAAUAUCGCUCUCACUAACGAAAGUUACCGCUUGGCUUACUCUCCUGCUGGCUUCUCCUUAUCCGUCGCGAUUAGCUGGUGCCGCGCAUACAUCGAUUAGUAACGUUUACACUUUCAUCUAAUUGCCGAUGCGAUUUCGAGCCGGCGCGGCGGAUUUCUUCGAGCGCGAUCCAUUUCAGGAAAUAUCCACCUUUCUACGGAUCAAACUCUCGCCCAGGGCGGUUGCGAUAUCGUUGCAUCGGAUUAUGCAAAACUAUUCAAAUGUCGCGUUCGGGGAGCACGGUACUACGCUAACGUGUUUACCAUGAUCUGCUCGAUAAAAUAGUUUAUCGAGCCCCGGCUCGGUGUCCUCGGCUCCGUUCCCGGCGUCCGUCGCGGACACCUUUAUUUUGUUAGUUUUCUUUCCGAAACCGACGGCCGAUCAGAAUCGCAAUAAUUAGCUCGACAAGUGGAGCACAAGAAGGCCGAUGGCAUCCGGGGAACGUCCGUCAUUUUGACCAGGAUAGUAUGUAUGUUACACGGCGUCCGAUCGGGUUCGACUUCUUCGUCGACUCUUCCCGCACGGCUCUUUCUUUUGUCUCCGCGUCGCCGGUCUCGUUCUUUUUCCGAUGGAAUUUCGCGGCGAAUCGUUGCGGGAAAAGAACGAGACGACGCCGACUUGUACGACUGCGAGGGGUACGACGCCGGUGCCGGCGGACUUUCACGAUCGCCGCCGAUUUCAGAAAAGAACGCCGCCGCGUUUCGGGCAAUUACGGGAGCCGAGGCCACGUGAAAUUGUCGGACGACGGGCCGCCGCUCGAGCAAUAAUAACCGAACCAGGAAUCCGACGACGGGGAAUUCGUGGAAAAUCGGGCGCACACGAGCGCGCGCCGCGCUUUCCCUCGCGUCGGAAAAACGACAAAAGAUCGAUACCAUCGGCACUGUGCACGAGUUACAAGCUGGUUCUCGCUGCGCAAGAAAUCUUCCCGCAACGAGGUUAAUUCCGUGUUCGGUUAUUGGGGCGGUCGGCUGCCAAAUGUCGGCCUAAAUAAGAGCGUCUCGCGGACACGGUGUUCCGCGGGACGCUCCGCCGUUAAAAAUCGGUGUCGCCGUGGCCGGAUUAACCGUUUGCGUCCAACAGGUGUUAUUCUAUUAUAUAUAUUCUAUU